Non-coding RNA from Prunus avium (sweet cherry), 238 nucleotides. The record is from RefSeq and is a predicted model, not a curated record. Lineage: Eukaryota; Viridiplantae; Streptophyta; Magnoliopsida; Rosales; Rosaceae.
UAGAGAAGCCACCAUUGCUUUGAACCACAACAGCCAUCGUCAUCGUCGCACAGCUGAUUGAUGUUCAAGAACCCGAAGAAGUAUUUCUCUCUGCUUGCCAAAUAUCUGAUUCUCCAGCUUCAACCUUAAUUGAUUCAAACGUGCUCUUCUCAGUGCCAACAAUGGAUGGAGGUAAACCAGGGGGUGGAAGAAGGUUUUGCUUCUAAUCAGGUGGAGUUUUAUGAAACCAUUGAGUCAG